CCCCGAGCUCGAAGGGGCGAGCCCCCGCGGCCGCGAGCAUCGCCAAUCGCGCGGCUUGCCUGGGGCAGCGAUCCUGGUAGUGGAGAGAUCUCAGCGACCCAGGGCGUCAUUCCAUGCCAUGCGAUACAGGCGCUACAGAAGUGCAGAGAGGAAGCCGUGGUGGCUGUGGACCUCAGGAUGGCGGCCGUGGAGAGGAUGUUGGCAUUGGCGGCGCAGUGCGUCGCGACGGCGAAAAAGGACCGGCCGUCGAUACAGCGACUAAACGAGCAGUACAAGGGGGUUAAAAUAAAACCUGCAGGAGGUGAGAUUCCUCCUUCUAUCUUUGCGUUAUGUUCCCUGCAGGCAACAUGACCCUGGAGAUGAGAUUCUUGCUGCAGAUGGCGUUUUCCACUUCUAACUAGCAGCCCCAGGAACCCACCAAAGCAAUGUUUUGCAAUCAUGAUAAGCAGAUGGAGCAAGCCUAUGAGGACUUACUGAAUUCGUCAAAGCAGACUCUGGCUAGCAUGAUGGAACUGCAGGAGGCUUUGCUGGAGAAUAACCAGGCUGUAAAGGAUGCCAAUGGUAUCCAUCCAGUUUUUAUUGUACUGACAAACUGUGUAGGCACCGGUGCCAAAGGACAGAUGGGCGGCCUUGAGUUGCAGCUUCUUGACGGCUAAGCGGAGCUGCUGGCCAAUGGCGGGCAAGAGAUCGUGCAAUCCCCAUACAGGCAGCCGCAGUUGACGCCCCCUCGCUAACUCUCUCGUGUGGAGUCCAAUAAUGCCAAGAUAAACCUGAUCUUCAAGACUUGAAGUAUUUCUUGAAGUUUCAAGUGCCUCUACAAUGGGCACCUAUGUUCAAUGAGCUUGUCCUUAUAAUUUUUUAGAGAUGCUUUUUGCUAUUUUCUGGAUGCUUCUGAUGACUAUAAUUUUGGUGCCAACAUAGGAUCCUCAUCCAAAUAUUAGUAUUUUUUUGGUAAUGUGUGUCUGUACCUUAGCUAUCCCAUUUGAUCAUAUUUCGGACAAUAGCAGGAACUUGUUUGUCAAUUUAUUCUUGCCUUAAGACUUAAUGUUAGUUUGUUCACUAGAAAAUAUAUCGUCACAUGCUGUAACAUGUCACAAAUAAUGAUGAUUUAAUGAUCCCAAGUUUGACUGUUAGACAAUCUGAUCUCAGUGACUUGGAAGCUUCACGGGCUUCUUUUCCUCAACAAUUCAAGAGCAUUAGCUUUGCUGUUUGGGAUGUCGGCUGCCAGGACAAGGGGAGCCUUGGCGCAGUGGUAAAGCUGAUGCCUUGUGACCAUGAGGUCACGGGUUCAAGUCCUGGUACCAGCCUCUUGCAGAAAUGCAGGGAAAAGCUACAUACAAAAAGACCCAAGUGGUCGGACCCUUGACCCUCUGCUCAAGCGGGAGCUACAUGCACUGGGUUGCCCCCCCCCCCUUUUUUUUAUUUCCUUUCGGAUUGGAGGCUGCAUUGACAUUUGUAUAGACCUGUAGCACAGUAGCACUACUUGAAAUUGUGUUUCGGUUGUAACUUCUCAAUGGGUUACAUGGUUUGCUUUUUCUAUGGCAUCUUCAUUAUGCAGCAAUCUCAUGGAUUUCUGCUACCCUAAAGUGCAGUACAAACCUGAAGCAAUUUGCUGGUAUAAAAUUCCAAGUUGCAUGCACAAACAGGAAUUAGGGAAGUGGUUUUUAUUUGACAGUGAUAUAUUUGAUGACUAGCAUGCACAAUGUAAUCAAAAUCAGAGCAUUUUACUCUUGAGACGUCACUGAUUAGGAAUUCUAGAAUGUUAAUGUAUUCUUCUGUUCUACGAGCAAAUUAACGUGUUCAGUUUGAACUCCAA
Long non-coding RNA from Panicum virgatum (switchgrass), 1816 nucleotides. RefSeq lists it as uncharacterized. The transcript has 7 exons. The record is from RefSeq and is a predicted model, not a curated record. NCBI's taxonomy places the organism in Eukaryota, Viridiplantae, Streptophyta, Magnoliopsida, Poales, Poaceae.